Molecule: transfer RNA, 69 nt
Filed under: Ictidomys tridecemlineatus (thirteen-lined ground squirrel)
Lineage: Eukaryota; Metazoa; Chordata; Mammalia; Rodentia; Sciuridae
Description: Spermophilus tridecemlineatus (thirteen-lined ground squirrel) tRNA
Rfam family: tRNA
About the family: Transfer RNA (tRNA) molecules are approximately 80 nucleotides in length. Their secondary structure includes four short double-helical elements and three loops (D, anti-codon, and T loops).
Source: Rfam by way of RNAcentral
GGAGUUGUGGCUCAGUGGUAGAGUUCUUGCUUAGCAUGUGUGAGGCCCUGAGUUCGAUUCUCAGCACCA